RNAcentral lists this ribosomal RNA (253 nucleotides) under uncultured bacterium. Its description in RNAcentral is "partial 16S ribosomal RNA". It matches the Rfam family "Bacterial small subunit ribosomal RNA", at positions 524 to 776 of the family's 1533-position model. The record is from RNAcentral.
UACGUAGGCAGCAAGCGUUGUCCGGAUUUAUUGGGUUUAAAGGGUGCGUAGGUGGUCCCAUAAGUCGGUGCUGAAAUAUCCCGGCUUAACCGGGAGGGUGGCAUUGAUACUGCGGGACUUGAGUAAAGUUGAGGUAGGCGGAAUUGACGGUGUAGCGGUGAAAUGCUUAGAUAUCGUCAAGAACACCUAUUGCGAAGGCAGCUUACUAAGCUUUAACUGACACUGAGGCACGAAAGUGUGGGGAUCAAACAGG